RNAcentral lists this transfer RNA (74 nucleotides) under Athalia icar. RNAcentral describes it as "tRNA-Lys". The record is from RNAcentral. Lineage: Eukaryota; Metazoa; Arthropoda; Insecta; Hymenoptera; Athaliidae.
CAUUAAAUGGCUGAAAAGUAAGCAAUGAUCUCUUAAAUCAUAAUAUAAUAGUAUUAACAAACUAUUUUUAAUGA